Molecule: long non-coding RNA, 3867 nt
Organism: Helianthus annuus (common sunflower)
Lineage: Eukaryota; Viridiplantae; Streptophyta; Magnoliopsida; Asterales; Asteraceae
Exons: 14
Source: RefSeq, a predicted model, not a curated record
CCCUAAUCAUUCUAAUUCCCUCAUACGUUUCACCACCGCUACUUUGCAAAACCCUAGAAAACUCUUCAGAUCUUGAAUCCCAAUCGUAAUCUACUCUUCUUCGAUCGUCGCCACCCAAAAGUUGCCUCUAAAGAUUGUAUUCAUGGUAAGUUUAUGUAUCCGAUUCGAAGUUCUUGACAUUUGAUUUUGAUAUAUUCGUUUUCAACUGUUAGUCAGAAAGCCUACUUGCCAUGGGAGAUUAUGAUCGGAUUUCUGUUCGUGAAGCUCUUGGAGGCGGCGCAGGUAUACCUAUGUUCUCUCUUUUCACCAUUCAUCCAUCCAUAAUCAUUGGAUCUUUUCAUUCAAUUUCAACAGUUUCGAGCUUGAUAAACAAGGAUAAGGUGGAAUCAGUGGUCUCGAGCUUCUUCUCAGGUCCAUCAUCAUGAUUGUUUAACUGGUUAUGAUUUGUGGGUAUUUGAAUUAACAGUUUUUAUGUGGAGGCAUUGACUUUUUGGUAAUUUUAUUCCUGCAGUUAGAAGAACAUCACAUGUAUGUUUUGUAUCAAUCAAACAUAUAGAAUCAAAAAUUUAGAACUGGGAUGUAAUUGUAAAUAAGUUUUCUGGUUUGUAUUCUCUUUUCAGGAGAACUGGGAUCUGAUUAUAAAGCGGUGGGUCACGGGAUGGUGUUCCAUCAUUUCAUUAAAGAUAUAGUGACACCGGUCAUUAGUCUUAAUUUUUAUAAACUAAAAUAGUAGAGGUUGUAAUUUGACCCAGUUUUUACAAGGCUAGGGCCGCUUAGGUUAUUUUUAAUCUAAAACUGGUCAAAUGGGUUAAAGUCUACUAAAAUAUAUCUUUGUUUCAUACAAGCUUUCAAAUUGCUAAAUGAGAGAUUUUGAUUGUUAUUGUAAAUGUGUUUCUCUAAUCACAUUUAUUGCAUCAAUUAUUCAUUAAUUUUUUUCUGGAAAGAUGAAAAAAAGUUAACCUACAUGUUUGAACCCAUUACUCAACCUAUCCACAUAUACAUGAAAUAUGUAUCUGAUGAAAUUGCUUGAAACACAUAUCAGUUUAGUAACCAUGAGAUGGCAGAAGAGAUGAAGAGUUGUUUAGUAUCUGAGUGACUCAUUUGCUUGUCAGGAUCUAGAAACAAAGCAUACGAAAAAUCUGCAUCAUUAUUCUUUUUAUUGGUGUGAUUUGGUUAUUAUGAUUCAGCCUCUUUUGCUAAUGAGAAUCGAGAGACUUAUUUUUUAUGACAAAUUUUGAUUGUUUGAGAUUUACCUAAACUCUUUCGAGUCGAUUUCAAGUUUUUGAUAGUUGGAAGUAGAAGUGCGGCUGGACAUGCAGCUAGGAAUUUCGUCGAACAUGGGAUGACUGACGAAAAACUAUGUAAUGUUUCCGAAGAGGCCUAUGCUCCAUAUUAACUCCCUGCGUUUACGAAAGGUUAUUUAUUUAUUUAUGACAAGAAAUCAGCUCAUUUGCUGAUAAGCCAGUUUGCUUGAUAUGAUAUCAUUGGGGAAGUCGCGAAGGUUAUUUAUUUAUUUUCGAAAAUUUAUGUUUUUGUGAAUUUUUGAGUUGCUAACAAGAUUCAUAUGUAUCCAUUGUUGUUUCCUCUUUGUUUGAAACGACCUUGGUAUCCCGGACCCUCAUCUUUUCAAGUUGCACAAAUCCAGAGACUUGCAAGCGCCAGAUUACUUAAGAUUUUCAGCAGGAGAAACCACUUUGGAAACUUACAUGUUAUGGUCAUAGCAAAUAGUAUGUUUUUCCUAAUUCUCAUUGGCGAUCUGUGAAGGUCGGUCGGGAUGAGUCAACUGCUGGUGAGAGGCAGCCAUGUGUAUCGUUAUGGGAAAUCGAACCGUUGACAACCUUUCUUAUCUUCAAUCACCCGGUGUUUUGGCUAUUGGAAGUAGCAUGAAAGGGCAAAACUCAUAUUCACAUCACUUGAUUCUGAUGUUAGUGUCUCAAUUGUGGAUCGGUUCACGUUUUAUACCUUAGCUUUCUUUGAGAGGCUAAAUAUGUAUGACAAUGCAUCAUUAAGCAGCUCAUUUAACCCAAAUUUGUUGAUGUCAACCACAUAUUAUCGAACAGAUCUAUACCAAGAACAUGUAGAGAAGGUACCUGUGACAAAUUUCUUUGGUUCAGUCAUGAAAAUGAUCCACACAGAUUCUUCUUACUGAGCAACCUAAGGUAAAGACAGCAGCCGGGUCAAAUAUGAUGUGACAUCCGGUCAAUCAGAUGAUGUGGACGCUCGAAGAAUGACAAGUUCAGAUCCCGAGAAACAAGUUGAUCCCCUUCAUAAAGAAAAUGAAACGGGUCAGUUUUUAAGUAAUGGUCAAAAUGUGCUGGGCAUAGGUUAGGUUGACGUGCUAACAUCUUUUUUGGUCAAAGGUGGAGGCUGGCUCAUGCGGAUUGGUGGAAUGCCAUCGUUGAGAAGUUUCAAGUUAUUUGUGUUCUAUGAGGGAAAUUAGCUGCCUUGUGUUGUAAAGGCCUACUAGGGGCUGGGCCAAGGCCCAACAAGUCCUUUGGAGCCCAUAGAGGUAAAUCUCUCCACAAGUGGUAAAUACGCGCUCAACCGGAGUCGAACCCCCAACCUCCACUUGAUCUCCACUCUAGCUCCCCCAAAUUUCACCAAUUGAGCUAGGCUUCAUUGGCAAAUGAUGAUGUUGAUUGGUACAAGAAUUUGAUCUAUAUUGUUGUAGUGAAAAUUUGUUCCUGUAAGGACUCAGAACAGAAAGCAAUUGAUCCCAAAGUGGCUGCAUUGUCAGAUGAUAGUACGAAUCGUGUUUUGGUUGAUGUUAAAGACUUGGAAGAGGAUUUUGUUGUGAAUGCAAACCUUCCGGAUAAUAAGUUUCAUUUGGCAAAAGAAUCAGUUGUUAAUUCGAAUUGUUCAGAAGAUAACAUUGUUCACAAUGUUGUUAGAGAAUUUGACAGUUGGAUGAACAAUUUGAUCUGGUGAAGUUUCCUGAUCUGAUUUCAUGUAAAUCGUUCACUCGCUUAAUAAACUUUUUAUCUGAAACCGCGAUGUAUGCAAUAUGCUGAACAUUAUGAAAAUGACAAAAGAAAUGUGUUUUUAGAAGAGAGCAACAAGGCAAAAUAAGGCGUUGACUGAAACGGUCAACAAGGCGAUCACUACUCCAACUCAUGUAAUUACUCUUAAACGAAAAGAAAAUCUCCAUGCUGACUUUUUGCCUCACGGUUUGACUUCUGCAACCGCGGCUGUGAAAGAUUUGAGUAAACUGAAGAAUCUGCAGCUUCCAACGAAGAAACAUGGUCAAGAAUCGACGAAGGAAGAAAAGAAAGAGCGCUGCAGUGAAGGAGGAAAAACGAGAGGCACGACACGCUAAAAAAAGAAUUUCAAGGAGUUAUACAAGAGUGAGAUGCAAUUUUAUUUUCAAUUAUAACAUUCACUGAACAAGGAUAUACAUUCCUUUUGUUUUACAUAAAUACGGCGUAUUCAUUUCGAGCAUGAAAUAUAUGUAAACUUUAAACACAUUACUUCAAGAUCAAUCUAUCAGAUCAGUAUCAUCAAAGUAAAUAUCAACAACUUCAUCAUCCACCUCCGCGUGAGGUAUUGGACCGCUAUCGGGUGUCCCGCCAGUGUUAGGUGGUCCAAACCAAUCACCAUAAUCGAGUAUCUCAUCAUCAGGUUUGAACAUAAGUGGCUCCGGCUCAAAUGAAAACUCUGGGUCAGGCGCUUGUACGGGCUCGAGUGCCAUGGCUUGGAAGGAGGUGACCAUGAUUAUGAUGAGCAAAGUCAUGCUUAAUGUGUGCAUGAACAACUUUGCAGAGAAAGGGGGGUUGUUGGAAUAUUUCAUUUUGAUAGGCAUAUGAGUUAAGAAAUGAUGUAAUUUGUGAAUUAGUUAAGCAGUGGUCAAUGGUGGAUAAUGUUUCCAUG